This 339-nucleotide ribosomal RNA is filed under the name uncultured Pseudomonadota bacterium. RNAcentral describes it as "bacterial SSU rRNA". It matches the Rfam family "Bacterial small subunit ribosomal RNA", at positions 29 to 351 of the family's 1533-position model. The record is from RNAcentral. Lineage: Bacteria; Pseudomonadati; Pseudomonadota.
AAUGAACGCUGGCGGCGUGCCUAACACAUGCAAGUCGAACGAGAAAGCCUGGCUUGCCAGGCGAGUAUAGUGGCGCACGGGUGAGUAACGCGUGGGUAAUCUACCUUUGUCUGGGGGAUAACCUACCGAAAGGUGGGCUAAUACCGCAUAACGUGGUCGAAUUGCGAUUUGAUCACCAAAGGAGGCCUCUCCUUGGAAGCUUUCGGAUGAAGAUGAGCCCGCGUCCCAUUAGCUAGUUGGUAAGGUAAAGGCUUACCAAGGCUACGAUGGGUAGCUGGUCUGAGAGGAUGGCCAGCCACACUGGAACUGGAACACGGUCCAGACUCCUACGGGAGGCAG